CCACCACCAAAGCAUUCUCUGGUGUUGAAGGCCCUGCAAAGCAGCAUCGCGGUGGCGGAGCGUCGUUUGCGACGCCCAACACACAAAACAAGCGGUGAGUGCUUUGGGGUGGGGUGACUGCGUACCUUUUGUAUAAUGGGUCAGCGACUUAUAUUCUGUAGCAAGGUUAACCGAAUAGGGGAGCCGGAGGGAAACCGAGUCUUAACCGGGCGUUAAGUUGCAGGGUAUAGACCCGAAACCCGGUGAUCUAGCCAUGGGCAGGUUGAAGGUUGGGUAACACUAACUGGAGGACCGAACCGACUAAUGUUGAAAAAUUAGCGGAUGACCUGUGGCUGGGGGUGAAAGGCCAAUCAAACCGGGAGAUAGCUGGUUCUCCCCGAAAGCUAUUUAGGUAGCGCCUCGUGAAUUCAUCUCCGGGGGUAGAGCACUGUUUCGGCUAGGGGGCCAUCCCGGCUUACCAACCCGAUGCAAACUGCGAAUACCGGAGAAUGUUAUCACGGGAGACACACGGCGGGUGCUAACGUCCGUCGUGAAGAGGGAAACAACCCAGACCGCCAGCUAAGGUCCCAAAGUCAUGGUUAAGUGGGAAACGAUGUGGGAAGGCCCAGACAGCCAGGAUGUUGGCUUAGAAGCAGCCAUCAUUUAAAGAAAGCGUAAUAGCUCACUGGUCGAGUCGGCCUGCGCGGAAGAUGUAACGGGGCUAAACCAU
Molecule: ribosomal RNA, 709 nt
Filed under: Salmonella enterica subsp. enterica serovar Monschaui
Lineage: Bacteria; Pseudomonadati; Pseudomonadota; Gammaproteobacteria; Enterobacterales; Enterobacteriaceae
Also listed under: 1 other name
Description: partial 23S ribosomal RNA
Rfam family: Bacterial large subunit ribosomal RNA (bases 88-709)
Source: RNAcentral